RNAcentral lists this ribosomal RNA (392 nucleotides) under uncultured bacterium. Its description in RNAcentral is "partial 16S ribosomal RNA". It matches the Rfam family "Bacterial small subunit ribosomal RNA", at positions 523 to 918 of the family's 1533-position model. The record is from RNAcentral.
AUACGGAGGAUCCGAGCGUUAUCCGGAUUUAUUGGGAUUAAAGGGUGCGCAGGCGGCCAUUUAAGUCAGCGGUUAAAUCGUGGGGCUCCACCCCAUUCUGCCGUUGAUAUUGGGUGUCUUGAUUGCGAUCGAGGGUGGCGAGAUUCGUAGUGUAGCGGUGAAAUGCAUAGAUAUGACGUAAAACACCGAGUGCGUAGGCAGCUGACCAGACCGCAAAUGACGCUCAUGCACGAAAGUGCGGGGGUCGAACAGGAUUAGAUACCCUGGUAGUCCGCACAGUAAACGAUGAAUACUUGUUUUCGGCGAUAUAAUGUCGGAGGCAAAGCGAAAGCGAUAAGUAUUCCACCUGGGGAGUACGCCGGCAACGGUGAAACUCAAAGGAAUUGACGGGG